GCGAGCGUGGCGGAAUUGGUAGACGCACUGGAUUUAGGUUCCAGCGCCGUGAGGUGUAAGAGUUCGAGUCUCUUCGCUCGCACCA
This 85-nucleotide transfer RNA is filed under the name Pelistega europaea. RNAcentral describes it as "tRNA-Leu". It matches the Rfam family "tRNA". From Rfam's summary of the family: Transfer RNA (tRNA) molecules are approximately 80 nucleotides in length. RNAcentral also lists the same sequence under 2 other names. Lineage: Bacteria; Pseudomonadati; Pseudomonadota; Betaproteobacteria; Burkholderiales; Alcaligenaceae. The record is from RNAcentral.